Molecule: transfer RNA, 60 nt
Filed under: Antricola marginatus
Lineage: Eukaryota; Metazoa; Arthropoda; Arachnida; Ixodida; Argasidae
Description: tRNA-Cys
Source: RNAcentral
GGUCUUAUAGUUUAUAUAAAAUUUUAAAUUGCAAGUUUAAAGAAAAUAUUUUUAAGACUU